GGUUGUUAACUAACUCUAACCUAGAGUCCUUCUAUUAACCAGCCCAGUAGUGAGAGUCAAUCCCUUGAGUUAUCUUCCCCUCAAGAGAUCCAAACUGCCUGACUUAGCCUGUCAGUUUCCAUAGCUUUCAGUUCUCUCACACACACACUCCCAACUCCAAAACCGAACUGCUCUCUUCAAACCCUCAAACAGAACUCCCUUCUUCAAACCCCAAAACAGAACUGCCUGGAGCUCUUUUUUUCCUCUGCACUCUAAGACUUGGCUCCUCCCAUCUGCUCUGGCUGGCCAAUCCUAGGAGUCUCUUUCUAAGCUCCCCCCCUUUCUAACCACACUCAAAAUGGCUGCCUGGCCUUCCUCAACAAAAUGGAUGCCUGCCUCACUCACUGUUACCAAGGCUUCAUUUCGGGCCUAAUAGGUCCUGUAGCAAAUCAGGAUCCAGUCGUGUUCACUUCCAAAUAUAGACAUAUCUAUUGCCUCACAGAACUAGUGCUUAUGUAGAUAUUGGGGACCCAGGCUGGAAUCCUGAGGGUGGCAAUAUGCAGCAUAAGUCCAUCUUACACCUGGAUGUAUCUGUUUUGGCCAUUGCUAGUAUUGCCUUCCAACUCCUACAAUGACCAACGCACACACCCCACAAAGUAACUAUUGAGUUAUGUAGCUUCUGCUCCCAUGGCUAUUCUGUGGCUGGUGUAGAGAAGAGGGGGAUUGUAUAAGACUCUGGUUAUGUCCAUGCAACCAUAUUUGAAAUGAUUAUUAUUAUUACACUUUAUUUAUAUUCUGCCCUUCUCCCUCAGUGGAUUACAGCACUUACAUGCAUAGGCAAACAUUCGAUACCUUUACAGUCAUAUAAUGAAGAUACACAAACACAAACAAAAGCAGAGGUUUCUCCUUUCAUUUCCAGCUUCUUGGAGGUGGUGCUCAUCUCUGGCUCUCGGGAAGUAAUUUUCUCUAUUUUCAAGCCGAGGAGCUUCCGUUGUCACCUCCUGAUCGUGUGGCCGACAAGAUUGCUUGGAGCGUCUCUUUGCCUUUUCCCACAGAAGUGGUACCUAUUGAAAUACUCACAUUUACAUGUUUUGAACUGCUAGUUUGGCAGGAGCUAGAGCUGACAGAUGAGAGCUCACCCCAUAUCACAAAUUCAAACUGCCAACUUUUAGGUCAGUAGUUCAGCAGCACAAGGGUUAACCCAUUGCACCACUGCAAUUCCUUAUAGUGGGCCUUUGGUAUUCACCACAGUAUGAUACCAAGACCCCUUGUGAAUAUUAAAAUCCAUGGAUGAUCAAGUCCCAUUAUGUGAAAUGGCAUAGGUGUCCCUUAUAUGAAAUGUCAGAAUUUGUUUUUUGGAAUUACGUUUAAUAGUUUCAAGCUGAGGAUAGUUGAGUUCAAGCUGAGAAUACAGAGGUCCACUAUGGUCCUCUUAAGAUCUCAGUGGAUGAUGUAAUCAUUUGGUGUCUGGAUACAGAAACAUAACCAGAUAUUUUUCCAGUCCCUUUCCUGUUCUCCACCAGCCAUGGCACAUUUUCUUUAUUUGUUAUAUACAAUAAAUAUUAGGGAUAUGUGAUCCAUAAAAAAAUGGUUCAAAAGUCAUUACAAAAUUGGGGGGUGCUGGCCCUUCAUUUCUAAAGUGUUUCUAAAGUAUAAUUCGUGAACAAUGUGUUACUUUAACGAGUGUAACAAAAUUUUGUUACUAUUUCAUUAUAGUAAUUCUUGGGUUAUCUAAGCAAUCAUGCAUGCAUUUUCAAUGUGGGAUGGUUUAUGUAGUUAGUUUUGUUUGUUGCUUAGUAACCUGAAGCCACCAUUUUUAGGGAAAUGGGAAAUGGGAGUAUCCUUUCUGGGGACACACAGGAAGUGAUGUACAUGUGCCUCUUCCUGUCUCUUUCUCUUUGCUCCUGCCUGACCAUGCCAUACCGAUGUUGCUCUUGUUUUGUUAAGAGAUAUGUAGUAUCCUGAACUGUUUUUUCUUUUGGAACUAAGAUGUUUUUACCUGUAUGGCCAUCAUCAUACAAGAUUGAGCAACUUGAGAAACUGCAAAUCCUUGGCAAUCUGCAAGGACGUUGCCCAGGAGACACCUUGAUGUUUUGAUGUUUUACCAUCCUUGUAGGAGGCUUCUCUCAUGUCCCUGCAUGGGGAGCUGGAACUGACAGAGGAGCUUACCCGCUCUCCCUGGAUUCAAACCAGCAACCUUCAGGACAGCAACCCAACCUUUAGGUUAGCAGUCCUGCCGGCACAAGUAUUUAACCCAUUGCACCACUGGUUGUAGCAAUGAAACUAAUGGUGAGGAACAGUGUGGACAUCCCAAAGAAGGAACAGAAGAAGAAAGGACCAAAAGUAUCCCUCAAGAAAGAGAAAGAGAGAGAGAAUGAGCUUCAGUUCUGAAUCAAAACAUCAGUGGUGUCUAUGAUAGCUCAGACUGCAUGAAUGAAUGUGUGAAUUCAUUUUUGGGUGCAGGUUCAUAUAACCAAAACUUGCACCAGGGGCAGAUGUUAAUAGUUCCUACUGGGCCCCACAAUAUAAUAUACAGUUUCUCUUAGGUUAAAUGUUGCUUUUGCACUGAAUACUGUGGGUUCAAUUCAGAAACCAUUAAAGUCAUUGAGAGCCUUGCCAUUAA
Long non-coding RNA from Anolis carolinensis (green anole), 2602 nucleotides. RefSeq lists it as uncharacterized. The record is from RefSeq and is a predicted model, not a curated record. The transcript has 4 exons. NCBI's taxonomy places the organism in Eukaryota, Metazoa, Chordata, Lepidosauria, Squamata, Anolidae.